Molecule: ribosomal RNA, 442 nt
Filed under: uncultured bacterium
Lineage: Bacteria
Description: partial 16S ribosomal RNA
Rfam family: Bacterial small subunit ribosomal RNA
Source: RNAcentral
CCUACGGGAGGCAGCAGUGGGGAAUAUUGGUCAAUGGGCGCAAGCCUGACCCAGCAACGCCGCGUGAAGGAAGAAGGCUCUCGGGUUGUUAACUUCUUUUAAUAGGGAAGCGUAGAAGACGGUACCUAUCGAAUAAGCCACGGCUAACUACGUGCCAGCAGCCGCGGUCAUACGUAGGUGGCAAGCGUUGUCCGGAUUUACUGGGUGUAAAGGGCGUGUAGCCGGGUAGACAAGUCAGAUGUGAAAUCCGGCGGCUCAACCCGCGAACGGCAUAUGAAACUGUUUGUCUUGAGUACUGGAGAGGGAACCGGAAUGCCUGGUGUAGCGGUGAAAUGCGUAGAUAUCAGGAGGAACACCAGUGGCGAAGGCGGAUUCCUGGACAGCAACUGACGGUGAGGCGCGAAAGCGUGGGGAGCGAACAGGAUUAGAUACCCGAGUAGUC